Molecule: ribosomal RNA, 445 nt
Filed under: uncultured bacterium
Lineage: Bacteria
Description: partial 16S ribosomal RNA
Rfam family: Bacterial small subunit ribosomal RNA
Source: RNAcentral
GUAAGGAAUAUUGGACAAUGGACGCAAGUCUGAUCCAGCCAUGCCGCGUGAAGGAUUAAGGUCCUCUGGAUUGUAAACUUCUUUUAUAAGGGACGAAAAAAUGCUUUUCUAAGUCGUCUGACGGUACCUUAUGAAUAAGCACCGGCUAACUCCGUGCCAGCAGCCGCGGUAAUACGGAGGGUGCAAGCGUUAUCCGGAUUCACUGGGUUUAAAGGGUGCGUAGGCGGGCAGGUAAGUCAGUGGUGAAAUCCUAGAGCUUAACUCUAGAACUGCCAUUGAUACUAUCUGUCUUGAAUAUUGUGGAGGUAAGCGGAAUAUGUCAUGUAGCGGUGAAAUGCUUAGAUAUGACAUAGAACACCUAUUGCGAAGGCAGCUUACUACGCAUAUAUUGACGCUGAGGCACGAAAGCGUGGGGAUCAAACAGGAUUAGAAACCCUGGUAGUCC